GAUCCUGGCUCAGGAUGAACGCUAGCGGGAGGCCUAAUACAUGCAAGUCGAGCGGUAGAGUGACUUCGGUUGCUUGAGAGCGGCGAACGGGUGAGUAACGCGUACACAAUCUACCUUUAAGAGGGGAAUAGCCCUGGGAAACUGGGAUUAAUGCCCCAUGGCAUCACGAGACGGCAUCGUUUUGUGAUUAAAGCUGAGGUGCUUAGAGAUGAGUGUGCGUCUGAUUAGCUAGUUGGUGCGGUAACGGCGCACCAAGGCGACGAUCAGUAGGGGGCGUGAGAGCGUGGACCCCCACACGGGUACUGAGACACGGACCCGACUCCUACGGGAGGCAGCAGUAAGGAAUAUUGGUCAAUGGAGGAAACUCUGAACCAGCCAUCCCGCGUGCAGGAAGAAUGCCCUAUGGGUUGUAAACUGCUUUUAUCUGGGAAGAAAAGUCGGGAUUUAUCCUGAUCUGACGGUACCAGAGGAAUAAGCACCGGCUAACUCCGUG
RNAcentral lists this ribosomal RNA (493 nucleotides) under uncultured bacterium. Its description in RNAcentral is "bacterial SSU rRNA". It matches the Rfam family "Bacterial small subunit ribosomal RNA", at positions 15 to 507 of the family's 1533-position model. The record is from RNAcentral.